Long non-coding RNA from Mobula hypostoma (lesser devil ray), 297 nucleotides. RefSeq lists it as uncharacterized. NCBI's taxonomy places the organism in Eukaryota, Metazoa, Chordata, Chondrichthyes, Myliobatiformes, Myliobatidae. The record is from RefSeq and is a predicted model, not a curated record. The transcript has 3 exons.
AGUUCAGCGAAUUUUGGUGGUCAAGAGAUAUUAAGGCCCUGGUUAAGAGAAAAAAGGAGGUGUACAGCAGGUAUAAGCAGCGAUUGUAGUCCCAGGCGACUGAAACUUUCCUCGUAGUCUAAGCCCUCUCAUCUCUGGAAUCAACCUGGUGAACCUCCUCUGCACUGCCUUCAAAGUCAGUAUAUCAUUCCUCGAGUAAGGAGACCAGACCUACAUGAAGUACUCCAGGACCCUGGGAUGCAUUCCAUCAGGACCAGGGGACUUAUUUAUCCUCAGACCCACAAGUUUGCUCAGCUG